GUUAUAAACGGGAAAUGACAUCACAUUUGAGCGUCUGUUGUCUGUUUCUGCAGUACGUUCUGGAGAUAUGAAAUCCAGGCUUAAAUGUCUUCUGUUUUUAACCAGUUGAAAACCAUUUUCAAUUACUUAACUAACCUGAAAAAUUUCGUGAAAAUCUAAUAAAUAGUCUAGAAUAUAUUAAAAGAGUUUCUGAGAAGUUUGAAUGCUUGUUAUCUUUAAAACGGUUGAAACUAAAAGGCUAAAUAAGGAAGCGUCAAAGUUGCUUUUCAUGGCAGACUAUCACUACGAAAUUUCAUUAAAAUAUGUUAAUUAGAUAAAAGUUUUUAGUGGGGAUGUGCAGAUGAUAUUCAUUAUUUUAUAUUAUCCUGCUAUUGAACAUAAAUGUUAAUUGCGGCCAUCAGAUCAACUAACUGCAUCAUCAGCCAUUUUUUUUUUUUUUUGAUAGGCUGCAAUAUUUAAUAAUACGUAUAGUGCAAACAUCUAUUAUGUUCACAAUAUCCCUUUUAGACAUACUAACUCGACUUCUACUGGACAGAUUUUUCGCGAAACUCGCGUUUGAAUUCUUUGCAGAAAGCUAUCGAGCAAAUUUAAUUUUGAUCCAUAUUAGAUUUAUUUAUAACGAUCUUUGAGCUGGAAAUGCGAUUCUGAGCAUUUGUAUUCCUGGUACCUAAAGAAGGAAACUCGCACGCGAUGCAUGCUGGGAAUUACUGUUAUGUCACGUGAUUCUAAUACGAUGUCGACGUAUAACGGUGGUGUCAUAAAAUAUUGCGUCACAAUAACAUCAGGAACGGCGUCAUAAAAUGACAAUAGAAACGUCACGUUAACGUGUGGAUGAAUGACGUAAUGAUUUUGAAGAAUAUAAAACCAAUAAAUAGAGUUACGAAGAAAAUAUUUUGAACUUGUUUCAGUAUUUGCAUGCAUUGUUGUAAUUCAAACAGUAUCCUUUCAAUGCACAAUUCCGCCCUACAGCUGUCAUGCAUAUUUUGAACAUGCACGACAGCUGUGUGUGAUAAUAACGUCCAAAAACAAGAUCAAUUCAUAACUUAGAAUCUAAAACCAAUAUUAUUAAUAUCAAGAUUAUUAAUAUUUGGCAUAUCUAUCAAGAAAAUUAUAAGACAAAAAAAAACAGUUAAAUGUCAUUUUUUGAUAGGCUCAUGAUGUUUAAUAAUACAAUAUUUGUAUAUACAAUAAAACACAGUAAAACAUUAUUGUGAACGAUUUUAUUGAUAAUAAUAAUUCGAAAUAUUGCACUUGGAUUGAGAUAAUGAUAAAAAUGUCAGUAACGUCAACAAGAGAUCAUUUAUAAGCGUUCACCACACCUCAACAGAACCGACAUCAAAUAUGACAAAUCAAUGUUGCAGUUGUAUGUGAGAUUUUGCAUAAUACAACAUGUAUUAUACAAUCUGAGUGUGUACUACACAUGUAUUGAUAAAUUUGAUACACAGGAUGAUAAGCGUCAUUCGGGAAUGGCAGUAAAUCUACCUUUUUUUUUUUUUUUUUUAAAAAAAAAAAUACCAGAUCCUUAUCAAUCUUGUGUUUUGAUUUGCAAUUUAUUUUUCGCUAUAUAUAUAUAUACAAUUGAUUUAAUAUAAAUUCAUCUUAACAAAUAGAAUAAUUUAAAAAAAAAAAAAUCAGUUAUAUUAAAAAAUAUUACAUUGUAACGAUAGUUUAAUUUUUCUCUCUUAAAU
RNAcentral lists this long non-coding RNA (1688 nucleotides) under Androctonus crassicauda. Lineage: Eukaryota; Metazoa; Arthropoda; Arachnida; Scorpiones; Buthidae. The record is from RNAcentral.